RNAcentral lists this long non-coding RNA (1433 nucleotides) under Marmota monax (woodchuck). The record is from RNAcentral. Lineage: Eukaryota; Metazoa; Chordata; Mammalia; Rodentia; Sciuridae.
CACCUGCCUCCAGCCACCACCCAGUUAAUCCCAUCAGGUGACUGAUUCGCAGAUUGGAUUAAGGCUCUUGUGACCCAAUCGUUUCUUCUCUGUAGCUUCUUGCAUUGUCUCACCCGUGAGCUUUUGGGGGACACUUCACAUCCAGAUCAUAACGAUGGAGAUGUAAUGGAAGGGACCAUAAGAGUUCACCAUCUUGGUCUCAGCUUGAGUUGGGGUGCAUUUGGGGCUCUCUCUCUCUCUGAGAGUGCUGAGCUGGCCAUAAACUACAGAUACUGAUGUCUCGGUGACGGCCAUGGCAAUUGUGAAUUCUUUUGGCAAUGGUUGAGUUGUGAUUUUGAGAGCAUUCGCUCUUUUUUAUUUUGCCCGUGAAUAAUUUUUCAGCAAGGAAGAAGCAAGGAGAGAUGAGGAUGAAGGUAGAGCAAGAACGAGGUUAUUAUACAUGUUUUCACCUUGAAAAUGAGUCAGUUCUAUGUUUCAAGUCAUACUCUCCUGCUUAUCCUUGCUCAUUCUUCAAUAAUAUGCCCCCUGGCCUUAUUAAAAUUAUCUGCAGAGUCCAGAUGGGGAGGGGAAACAACACCCAUUAUUGGUGUUCAUUAUUCUGAAAAAUUAUGUUAACCUACUUUAUUCCUUUUCCCUUGCAGGAUGACAGUUUUGAUCUCUUUAAUGACUGUUUCAUGACUUACAGACUUAUAAAAUGCUUUUGUGGGUACCACACCCACUCCCCAAAGACCACCCUCUCUGCAUUUCUCUCCUCCGGCACUAAAGAUAUUAAAUUGCGUGCAAGGAUGAUACCUUCUGAAAACACCUUCUGAGAGGUCAGAGGGUUCCUGGAACGGUCGUUGUACCUCUUCAAAAAAGGUGCUGCUGUGGGGAUGCAGGGCAGAGUUGGGAGCUUUCUGGGCCUUGCAGCAGUUUCAGGAUCUAUGUGUAGGACACACCCGCGGGAGGGAGCUGCCCUGGUCUCUACACUUACCACCAUUGAUGUCAGGCGCUGAGAGAGGAGUUCACAGUAGUAGCGGGGAAGGGGUGCUUGCUGGGCACCCUGAUGAUCAAGAUGGCCCUGCUUUAAGCACACGACUCCAACUCUUCUCUGUCCACUCUUUUUUAACCCAAGGGAGCAUUUCCCCUCCUACAUGCCUACGCCUCACUCUUCUGCAUACACCAGAAGCUUCAGAGGAUGCUGGAAGAAUGUCAAUGAAUUCAGGAUUCACAAAGAACAUGGGGCUGUGUAAAUGUGAGCACAGAGUCCACUCCCCCACCUCCCAGACUGCUAAAGAGCAGGGAUGCGGGUGCGGGAGGCUGCAUUCCCGUGAUGGGCAGGCCCCUGCACGGUUGGGCUUCCUCAUCAGCAGCGGGGGAUGAUGACAGGCACCUCUCUGGGGUGUUGGGAAGGCUAAUGCUAACUCUGACCUGCUUUGUGUUUCCUAUGCAGG